AUUGAACGCUGGCGGCAGGCCUAACACAUGCAAGUCGAGCGAGCGGCGGACGGGUGAGUAAUGUCUGGGAAACUGCCUGAUGGAGGGGGAUAACUACUGGAAACGGUAGCUAAUACCGCAUACCAUCAGAUGUGCCCAGAGGGGAUUGGCUGGUAUGUGGGGUAACGGCUCACCUGGGCGACGAUCCCUAGCUGGUCUGAGAGGAUGACCAGCCACACGGGAACGUAGACACGGAGAAGACGCCUAGGCGAGGAAGCAGGGGGGAAUAGUGGACAAUGGGCGCAAGCCUGAUGCAGCCAUGCCGCGUGGGUGAAGAAGGCCUUCGUGUUGUAAAGCAGUAUCAGCGGGGAGGCGUUACCCGCAGAAGAAGCACCGGCUAACUCCGUGCCAGCAGCCGCGGUAAUUC
This 406-nucleotide ribosomal RNA is filed under the name uncultured bacterium. Its description in RNAcentral is "partial 16S ribosomal RNA". It matches the Rfam family "Bacterial small subunit ribosomal RNA", at positions 29 to 526 of the family's 1533-position model. The record is from RNAcentral.